RNAcentral lists this long non-coding RNA (316 nucleotides) under Capsella rubella. RNAcentral's name for it is "long non-coding RNA (CRUB_LNC003804)". The record is from RNAcentral. Lineage: Eukaryota; Viridiplantae; Streptophyta; Magnoliopsida; Brassicales; Brassicaceae.
UUUGAGUAGCAGCCGGUAAAUCUUCAUCUUUCUCCUCACGCUCGCCGUAUAUAGUAAAGUUAUCAUCGUCAGAUGACGCACCAUCGGAGUCGUCGAAUACGUCAAAUCGGGUUGAAAACUCGUCAUCUUCUUCUUCAUCCUCUGAUUCGUACUCUGCUUCAUCUUCUUUGGCUUCAUCGUCUACGUUUUCACUAUAAUCAUAACAGAAACCAUCAAAUCCUCUUGCGUCUUCAUAUGUAUAUUCUACUUCUGAAGCCGAACUGCGUGGCCGUUUCGUCCUUGAAUUCGAUCCGUCCUUCAACUUCGCGAACUCAAC